This 619-nucleotide ribosomal RNA is filed under the name Flavobacterium sp. Se3Ps_2632. RNAcentral describes it as "bacterial SSU rRNA". It matches the Rfam family "Bacterial small subunit ribosomal RNA", at positions 395 to 1015 of the family's 1533-position model. The record is from RNAcentral. Lineage: Bacteria; Pseudomonadati; Bacteroidota; Flavobacteriia; Flavobacteriales; Flavobacteriaceae.
UGCCGCGUGCAGGAUGACGGUCCUAUGGAUUGUAAACUGCUUUUGUACAGGAAGAAACACUGGUUCGUGAACCAGCUUGACGGUACUGUAAGAAUAAGGAUCGGCUAACUCCGUGCCAGCAGCCGCGGUAAUACGGAGGAUCCAAGCGUUAUCCGGAAUCAUUGGGUUUAAAGGGUCCGUAGGCGGUUUAAUAAGUCAGUGGUGAAAGCCCAUCGCUCAACGGUGGAACGGCCAUUGAUACUGCUAAACUUGAAUUAUUAGGAAGUAACUAGAAUAUGUAGUGUAGCGGUGAAAUGCUUAGAGAUUACAUGGAAUACCAAUUGCGAAGGCAGGUUACUACUAAUGGAUUGACGCUGAUGGACGAAAGCGUGGGUAGCGAACAGGAUUAGAUACCCUGGUAGUCCACGCCGUAAACGAUGGAUACUAGCUGUUGGAAGCAAUUUCAGUGGCUAAGCGAAAGUGAUAAGUAUCCCACCUGGGGAGUACGUUCGCAAGAAUGAAACUCACAGGAAUUGACGGGGGCCCGCACAAGCGGUGGAGCAUGUGGUUUAAUUCGAUGAUACGCGAGGAACCUUACCAAGGCUUAAAUGUAGAUUGACCGUUUUGGAAACAGAACUUU